Molecule: ribosomal RNA, 338 nt
Filed under: uncultured bacterium
Lineage: Bacteria
Description: bacterial SSU rRNA
Rfam family: Bacterial small subunit ribosomal RNA
Source: RNAcentral
CUAGCGACUUCAGAGUUUGAUCCUGGCUCAGGACGAACGCUGGCGGCGUGCCUAACACAUGCAAGUCGAACGGACGAGGCCCCUUCGGGGACCGAGUUAGUGGCGAACGGGUGAGUAACGCGUGAGCAACCUGCCUUUCAGAGGGGGACAACAGUUGGAAACGACUGCUAAUACCGCAUAACGUAUCGAGGGGGCAUCCCCAUGAUACCAAAGAUUUAUCGCUGAAAGAUGGGCUCGCGUCUGAUUAGAUAGUUGGUGAGGUAACGGCUCACCAAGUCGACGAUCAGUAGCCGGACUGAGAGGUUGAACGGCCACAUUGGGACUGAGAUACGGCCCAG